CGCGUAGGCGGGCCUUCAAGUCGGGUGUGAAACCUCCGGGCUUAACUCGGAGCCUGCACUCGAUACUGUCGGCCUUGAGUACAGAAGAGGAAAGCGGAAUUCCAGGUGUAGCGGUGAAAUGCGUAGAUAUCUGGAAGAACACCAGUAGCGAAGGCGGCUUUCUGGUCUGAUACUGACGCUAAAGCGCGAAGGCUAGGGGAGCAAACA
Molecule: ribosomal RNA, 207 nt
Filed under: uncultured bacterium
Lineage: Bacteria
Description: partial 16S ribosomal RNA
Rfam family: Bacterial small subunit ribosomal RNA
Source: RNAcentral